RNAcentral lists this ribosomal RNA (426 nucleotides) under Triticum aestivum (bread wheat). Its description in RNAcentral is "partial small subunit ribosomal RNA". Lineage: Eukaryota; Viridiplantae; Streptophyta; Magnoliopsida; Poales; Poaceae. The record is from RNAcentral.
AUGUGGUAUCAGUCGCCUCUCACUUCCCUUCCACCACGCUGGAGAUCCGGCAGCAAACGAGUGUGCGUGUCCACCUCUCCACCAUGGAUCUGGCGCUCAAGGCCUACCUCGACAAGCUCACGGAGACUCUGGCCAGCCACAACACGCGCGCCGACAUCAAGGGGAUCAAGGCCUAGAUCGACAGCAACACGACGCAAGUGGAGGAGCUCACGGCGUGGAAGCCGGAUUUCGAAGCCCGCCUCUCCAAACUCCAGGAGACCGCCGUGGGGAUGCAAGAAGCGCUGCCCACAUCAGCGGCGGUGCCAAUCGGUGGAUCCCUGGCCGCGGAUCGCCCCGAUCCGGCCGCGUGCGCCACGAUCCACGGGCUCGAUGGCCACGGCGAGGACAAUCAAGUACAGAGCGAGCUCUUGGGGGAAAUUCGUCUAA